RNAcentral lists this transfer RNA (74 nucleotides) under Flavobacteriaceae bacterium. Its description in RNAcentral is "tRNA-Met". It matches the Rfam family "tRNA". Rfam says of the family: Transfer RNA (tRNA) molecules are approximately 80 nucleotides in length. Their secondary structure includes four short double-helical elements and three loops (D, anti-codon, and T loops). Further hydrogen bonds mediate the characteristic L-shaped molecular structure. tRNAs have two regions of fundamental functional importance: the anti-codon, which is responsible for specific mRNA codon recognition, and the 3' end, to which the tRNAs corresponding amino acid is attached (by aminoacyl-tRNA synthetases). tRNAs cope with the degeneracy of the genetic code in two manners: having more than one tRNA (with a specific anti-codon) for a particular amino acid; and 'wobble' base-pairing, i.e. permitting non-standard base-pairing at the 3rd anti-codon position. Lineage: Bacteria; Pseudomonadati; Bacteroidota; Flavobacteriia; Flavobacteriales; Flavobacteriaceae. The record is from RNAcentral. RNAcentral also lists the same sequence under 1 other name.
GGCGAGGUAGCUCAGGUGGUCAGAGCGCAGGAUUCAUAACCCUGAGGUCGGGAGUUCAAGUCUCCCUCUCGCUA